CCUACGGGAGGCAGCAGUGGGGAAUAUUGGACAAUGGGGGGAACCCUGAUCCAGCGACGCCGCGUGAGUGAAGAAGUAUUUCGGUAUUUAAAGCUCUAUCAGCAGGGAAGAAAAUGACGGUACCUGACUAAGAAGCCCCGGCUAACAACGUGCCAGCAGCCGCGGUAAUACGUAGGGGGCAAGCGUUAUCCGGAGUUACUGGGUGUAAAGGGAGCGUAGACGGUGCAGCAAGUCUGAUGGGAAAGGUCGGGGCACAAACCCGGGACUGCAGUGGAAACUGUUGAACUGGAGUACAGGAGAGGUAUGCGGAAUGCGUGGUGUAGCGGUGAAAUGCGUAGAUAUUAGGAGGAACACCGGUGGCGAAGGCGGCUUACUGGACUGUAACUGACGUUGAGGCUCGAAAGCGUGGGGAGCAAACAGGAUUAGAUACCCGGGUAGUC
This 440-nucleotide ribosomal RNA is filed under the name uncultured bacterium. Its description in RNAcentral is "partial 16S ribosomal RNA". It matches the Rfam family "Bacterial small subunit ribosomal RNA", at positions 338 to 795 of the family's 1533-position model. The record is from RNAcentral.